AUUGAACGCUGGCGGAAUGCUUUACACAUGCAAGUCGAACGGCAGCACGGGGGCGAACCCUCGGUGGCGAGUGGCGAACGGGUGAGUAACAACAUCGGAACGUGCCCACGUCGUGGGGGAGUAACGUAGCGAAAGACUACGCUAAUACCGCAUACGAACUCUGGUUGUAAAGACGGGGGAGUCGCAAGACCUCGCGCGAUUGGAGCGGCCGAUGGCAGAUUAGGUAGUUGGUGGGGUAAA
This 240-nucleotide ribosomal RNA is filed under the name uncultured bacterium. RNAcentral describes it as "partial 16S ribosomal RNA". It matches the Rfam family "Bacterial small subunit ribosomal RNA", at positions 30 to 261 of the family's 1533-position model. The record is from RNAcentral.